UACAGAGGGGGCAAGCGUUGUUCGGAAUUACUGGGCGUAAAGGGCGCGUAGGCGGCCUGUUAAGUCGAACGUGAAAUCCCUGGGCUCAACCCAGGAACUGCGUCCGAUACUGGCAGGCUUGAAUCCGGGAGAGGGAUGUGGAAUUCCAGGUGUAGCGGUGAAAUGCGUAGAUAUCUGGAGGAACACCGGUGGCGAAGGCGACAUCCUGGACCGGUAUUGACGCUGAGGCGCGAAAGCCAGGGGAGCAAACGGG
Molecule: ribosomal RNA, 253 nt
Filed under: uncultured bacterium
Lineage: Bacteria
Description: partial 16S ribosomal RNA
Rfam family: Bacterial small subunit ribosomal RNA
Source: RNAcentral